This 24-nucleotide non-coding RNA is filed under the name Arabidopsis thaliana (thale cress). Lineage: Eukaryota; Viridiplantae; Streptophyta; Magnoliopsida; Brassicales; Brassicaceae. The record is from RNAcentral.
UAUGGAGAUUUGGAACGGCCGCGG